CCCGCAGCCUGACCCCAUUUCACCCUCCAGCCUUGGGGACCGGCCUCUCAGGUCCCGCCGCCCAGAAUGGCAUUUUGACCCCUUCAGUUUCUUCAAGGACUCACAGGCUUCAGCCCACUGAUCG
This is a long non-coding RNA of Myotis lucifugus (little brown bat), 124 nucleotides long. RefSeq lists it as uncharacterized. NCBI's taxonomy places the organism in Eukaryota, Metazoa, Chordata, Mammalia, Chiroptera, Vespertilionidae. The transcript has 3 exons. The record is from RefSeq and is a predicted model, not a curated record.